CCUCCCACCCUUGUCUCUAUACACCUGUUGCUUUGGCGGGCCCACCGGGGCCACCUGGUCGCCGGGGGACGCACGUCCCCGGGCCCGCGCCCGCCGAAGCGCUCUGUGAACCCUGAUGAAGAUGGGCUGUCUGAGUACUAUGAAAAUUGUCAAAACUUUCAACAAUGGAUCUCUUGGUUCCGGCAUCGAUGAAGAACGCAGCGAAAUGCGAUAAGUAAUGUGAAUUGCAGAAUUCCGUGAAUCAUCGAAUCUUUGAACGCACAUUGCGCCCCCUGGCAUUCCGGGGGGCAUGCCUGUCCGAGCGUCAUUUCUGCCCUCAAGCACGGCUUGUGUGUUGGGUGUGGUCCCCCCGGGGACCUGCCCGAAAGGCAGCGGCGACGUCCGUCUGGUCCUCGAGCGUAUGGGGCUCUGUCACUCGCUCGGGAAGGACCUGCGGGGGUUGGUCACCACCAUGUUUUUACCACGGUUGACCUCGGAUCAGGUAGGAGUUACCCGCUGAACUUAAGCA
This 508-nucleotide ribosomal RNA is filed under the name Penicillium sp. Nitaf19. Its description in RNAcentral is "eukaryotic LSU rRNA". The stretch from base 154 to 307 matches the Rfam family "5.8S ribosomal RNA". Lineage: Eukaryota; Fungi; Ascomycota; Eurotiomycetes; Eurotiales; Aspergillaceae. The record is from RNAcentral.